This 262-nucleotide ribosomal RNA is filed under the name Foraminifera environmental sample. Its description in RNAcentral is "partial small subunit ribosomal RNA". The record is from RNAcentral. Lineage: Eukaryota; Foraminifera.
CGGUCACGUUCGUUGCUUUAGAGCAUUAUGAAUAUAGGCCCUUAGUGAAACGCAAUUAAGCAGACAGAUCACUCCACGAACUAAGAACGGCCAUGCACCACCUAUCACAUAAUCAUGAAAGGACUAGCAUCUUUAACAGAGCAUGCGCGUAGAACUGUUAAUUAAAACAGAUCAACUACAGCUCAUAACGCCUGUCAAUCCUCAGUGUGUCCGGACCCGGUAAGAUUUCCCGCGUUGGGUCAAAUUAAGCCACAUGCUCCAC